Molecule: ribosomal RNA, 470 nt
Filed under: Aphyosemion hanneloreae
Lineage: Eukaryota; Metazoa; Chordata; Actinopteri; Cyprinodontiformes; Nothobranchiidae
Description: partial 16S ribosomal RNA
Rfam family: Bacterial large subunit ribosomal RNA
Source: RNAcentral
AACGGCCGCGGUAUUUUGACCGUGCAAAGGUAGCGCAAUCACUUGUCUUUUAAAUGAAGACCUGUAUGAAUGGCAUAACGAGGGCUUAACUGUCUCCUUUUUCCUAUCAAUGAAAUUGAUUUCUCCGUGCAGAAGCGGGGAUUAAAACAUAAGACGAGAAGACCCUAUGGAGCUUAAAACGCAAGAACAGAACAUGAUCAUUCAUAUAAUUAAAAAAUGAAAUCAAUUGACACCUGUUCAAAUGUUUUUGGUUGGGGCGACCACGGAGUAAAACAAAACCUCCAUGAGGAAUAAAGAUAUUCCUUUUAAUUUAAGGGUAACAACCCUAAAAAUUAGAACUUCUAACCACCUUGAUCCGGCAAAGCCGACCAACGGACCGAGUUACCCUAGGGAUAACAGCGCAAUCCUCUUUUAGAGUCCAUAUCGACAAGAAGGUUUACGACCUCGAUGUUGGAUCAGGACAUCCUAAU